AACGAACGCUGGCGGCAUGCCUAACACAUGCAAGUCGAACGAGACCUUCGGGUCUAGUGGCGCACGGGUGCGUAACGCGUGGGAACCUGCCCUUAGGUUCGGAAUAACUCCCCGAAAGGGGUGCUAAUACCGGAUAAUGUCUUCGGACCAAAGAUUUAUCGCCUUUGGAUGGGCCCGCGUUGGAUUAGCUAGUUGGUAGGGUAAAAGCCUACCAAGGCGACGAUCCAUAGCUGGUCUGAGAGGAUGAUCAGCCACACUGGGACUGAGACACGGCCCAGACUCCUACGGGAAGCAGCAGUGGGGAAUAUUGGACAAUGGGCGAACGCCUGAUCCAGCAAUGCCGCGUGAGUGAUGAAGGCCUUAGGGUUGUAAAGCUCUUUUACCCGGGAUGAUAAUGACAGUACCGGGAGAAUAAGCUCCGGCUAACUCCGUG
RNAcentral lists this ribosomal RNA (433 nucleotides) under uncultured bacterium. RNAcentral describes it as "partial 16S ribosomal RNA". It matches the Rfam family "Bacterial small subunit ribosomal RNA", at positions 29 to 507 of the family's 1533-position model. The record is from RNAcentral.